UUCUACUGCCUAUGAGGUGUUCCCCAGGGGUCCUGGGAAGCCCAGGGGCUGGAAUUCCUUUAUGGGUCGGUAGUUCGAGUUGCUUCAAUUAAGCCAGAUGAAGGUCUCUCAGAUGUAUCCACCUGGUUUCUCCACCCACACAAGGGAGAGUAGAGGCCACAAAGGUUAAAGCUGCACCUCCUACGCAGCUUCCCCGAGGUUCCUGAGGCCUUCCCUGCAAAGCUAUGCUGAGUGGAUUCUCCCAGGGUGAUGGGGUAGGAGGGAGAGGCCAUGACCAUUAGUCAAGAGCCACAGAAUCUUCCCUUGAUAAUCACCGAAGUUGCUAAACCAAAAAUUGACCUACACUUAUGGCGUCUACGGGCCCAAAGAGUUAAGACCAGAAAGACCCAGAACUCUGGCCUGUGAGUGGGCGAAGACCCAGACUUGGACUAGAUCCAUCGAUGAGGGUUGAAGGGCUUCAGUGGGGAUGGCAGAGCCCGGGGUGGUCACUUUAUCUGCAGCUGUCUUUGCUGGAGGACUAGAUUUCACUCCCUAUCUCUGCUGGAGAUCUCUCGAGCACCCAUUGCACCCUGGUGCGGAACGGCCUGCUUGUGAGCUUUGAGGCCCAGCCAACCACGAGACAAGAAAAGACACAGCCCAACUUCAAAGGGCUGCAGAAGACCAGGGCAGUCGAGCAGAGCCUGGUGACCCCACAGUGAAUCUGGCUGCAUCAGGAUCAAACCAGCGUAAGGCAGGAUGGGGCCCUGCCCUGCAGGCUUGAGGGGCACCUAAAAUGUCAAUGGAGAUUUGAUAGGAAUUUUCCAUGCAGCCUCAUCUUUCAGAACAACCUCUGGGGUUUUUUGGAGGAGUCCAAGGGAUAAAAGUCCUUUUGGAGAAAAACAGCCCUUAAAAAAUGCACCCUCAAAAACAGACACAUGGGCCUUCCCUGGUGGCGCAGUGGUUACGAAUCUGCCUGUCAAUGCAGGGGACACGGGUUCGAGCCCUGGUCCAGGAAGAUCCCACAUGCCGCGGAGCAACUAAGCCUGUGCGCCACAACUACUGAGCCUGCGCUCUAGAGCCCGCGAGCCACAACUACUGAGCCCGCGUGCCACAACUACUGAAGGCUGUGCGCCUAGAGCCCAUGCUCCACAAUAAGAGAAGCCACUGCAAUGAGAAGCCUGCACACCGCGACGAAGAGUAGCCCCCACUCACCACAACUAGAGAAAGCCCGCGCGCAGCAACGAAGACCCAACACAGCCAAAACAAACAAAAAAAACAAAACAGACA
Eubalaena glacialis (North Atlantic right whale) is the source of this 1266-nucleotide long non-coding RNA. RefSeq lists it as uncharacterized. The record is from RefSeq and is a predicted model, not a curated record. NCBI's taxonomy places the organism in Eukaryota, Metazoa, Chordata, Mammalia, Artiodactyla, Balaenidae. The transcript has 3 exons.